RNAcentral lists this ribosomal RNA (2900 nucleotides) under Klebsiella pneumoniae. Its description in RNAcentral is "bacterial LSU rRNA". It matches the Rfam family "Bacterial large subunit ribosomal RNA". Lineage: Bacteria; Pseudomonadati; Pseudomonadota; Gammaproteobacteria; Enterobacterales; Enterobacteriaceae. The record is from RNAcentral.
UUAAGCGACUAAGCGUACACGGUGGAUGCCCUGGCAGUCAGAGGCGAUGAAGGACGUGCUAAUCUGCGAAAAGCGUCGGUAAGGUGAUAUGAACCGUUAUAACCGGCGAUGUCCGAAUGGGGAAACCCAGUGUGAUUCGUCACACUAUCGUUAACUGAAUACAUAGGUUAACGAGGCGAACCGGGGGAACUGAAACAUCUAAGUACCCCGAGGAAAAGAAAUCAACCGAGAUUCCCCCAGUAGCGGCGAGCGAACGGGGAGCAGCCCAGAGUCUGAAUCAGCUUGUGUGUUAGUGGAACGGUCUGGAAAGUCCGACGGUACAGGGUGAUAGUCCCGUACACCAAAAUGCACAGGUUGUGAACUCGAAGAGUAGGGCGGGACACGUGGUAUCCUGUCUGAAUAUGGGGGGACCAUCCUCCAAGGCUAAAUACUCCUGACUGACCGAUAGUGAACCAGUACCGUGAGGGAAAGGCGAAAAGAACCCCGGCGAGGGGAGUGAAAAAGAACCUGAAACCGUGUACGUACAAGCAGUGGGAGCACCUUCGGGUGUGACUGCGUACCUUUUGUAUAAUGGGUCAGCGACUUAUAUUCUGUAGCAAGGUUAACCGUAUAGGGGAGCCGCAGGGAAACCGAGUCUUAACUGGGCGUUAAGUUGCAGGGUAUAGACCCGAAACCCGGUGAUCUAGCCAUGGGCAGGUUGAAGGUUGGGUAACACUAACUGGAGGACCGAACCGACUAAUGUUGAAAAAUUAGCGGAUGACUUGUGGCUGGGGGUGAAAGGCCAAUCAAACCGGGAGAUAGCUGGUUCUCCCCGAAAGCUAUUUAGGUAGCGCCUCGUGAAUUCAUCUUCGGGGGUAGAGCACUGUUUCGGCUAGGGGGUCAUCCCGACUUACCAACCCGAUGCAAACUACGAAUACCGAAGAAUGUUAUCACGGGAGACACACGGCGGGUGCUAACGUCCGUCGUGAAGAGGGAAACAACCCAGACCGCCAGCUAAGGUCCCAAAGUCAUGGUUAAGUGGGAAACGAUGUGGGAAGGCACAGACAGCCAGGAUGUUGGCUUAGAAGCAGCCAUCAUUUAAAGAAAGCGUAAUAGCUCACUGGUCGAGUCGGCCUGCGCGGAAGAUGUAACGGGGCUAAACCAUGCACCGAAGCUGUGGCAGCGACACUAUGUGUUGUUGGGUAGGGGAGCGUUCUGUAAGCCUGCGAAGGUGGCCUGUGAGGGUUGCUGGAGGUAUCAGAAGUGCGAAUGCUGACAUAAGUAACGAUAAAGCAGGUGAAAAGCCCGCUCGCCGGAAGACCAAGGGUUCCUGUCCAACGUUAAUCGGGGCAGGGUGAGUCGACCCCUAAGGCGAGGCCGAAAGGCGUAGUCGAUGGGAAACAGGUUAAUAUUCCUGUACUUGGUGUUACUGCGAAGGGGGGACGGAGAAGGCUAUGUUAGCCGGGCGACGGUUGUCCCGGUUUAAGCAUGUAGGCUGGUUAUCCAGGCAAAUCCGGAUAAUCAAGGCUGAGGUGUGAUGACGAGGCACUACGGUGCUGAAGUAACAAAUGCCCUGCUUCCAGGAAAAGCCUCUAAGCAUCAGGUAACAUUAAAUCGUACCCCAAACCGACACAGGUGGUCAGGUAGAGAAUACCAAGGCGCUUGAGAGAACUCGGGUGAAGGAACUAGGCAAAAUGGUGCCGUAACUUCGGGAGAAGGCACGCUGGUGUGUAGGUGAAGUCCCUGCGGAUGGAGCUGAGACCAGUCGAAGAUACCAGCUGGCUGCAACUGUUUAUUAAAAACACAGCACUGUGCAAACACGAAAGUGGACGUAUACGGUGUGACGCCUGCCCGGUGCCGGAAGGUUAAUUGAUGGGGUUAUCCGUAAGGAGAAGCUCUUGAUCGAAGCCCCGGUAAACGGCGGCCGUAACUAUAACGGUCCUAAGGUAGCGAAAUUCCUUGUCGGGUAAGUUCCGACCUGCACGAAUGGCGUAAUGAUGGCCAGGCUGUCUCCACCCGAGACUCAGUGAAAUUGAACUCGCUGUGAAGAUGCAGUGUACCCGCGGCAAGACGGAAAGACCCCGUGAACCUUUACUAUAGCUUGACACUGAACAUUGAGCCUUGAUGUGUAGGAUAGGUGGGAGGCUUUGAAGCGUGGACGCCAGUCUGCGUGGAGCCAACCUUGAAAUACCACCCUUUAAUGUUUGAUGUUCUAACGUUGGCCCCUGACCGGGGUUGCGGACAGUGUCUGGUGGGUAGUUUGACUGGGGCGGUCUCCUCCCAAAGCGUAACGGAGGAGCACGAAGGUUAGCUAAUCCUGGUCGGACAUCAGGAGGUUAGUGCAAUGGCAUAAGCUAGCUUGACUGCGAGCGUGACGGCGCGAGCAGGUGCGAAAGCAGGUCAUAGUGAUCCGGUGGUUCUGAAUGGAAGGGCCAUCGCUCAACGGAUAAAAGGUACUCCGGGGAUAACAGGCUGAUACCGCCCAAGAGUUCAUAUCGACGGCGGUGUUUGGCACCUCGAUGUCGGCUCAUCACAUCCUGGGGCUGAAGUAGGUCCCAAGGGUAUGGCUGUUCGCCAUUUAAAGUGGUACGCGAGCUGGGUUUAGAACGUCGUGAGACAGUUCGGUCCCUAUCUGCCGUGGGCGCUGGAGAAUUGAGGGGGGCUGCUCCUAGUACGAGAGGACCGGAGUGGACGCAUCACUGGUGUUCGGGUUGUCAUGCCAAUGGCACUGCCCGGUAGCUAAAUGCGGAAGAGAUAAGUGCUGAAAGCAUCUAAGCACGAAACUUGCCCCGAGAUGAGUUCUCCCUGAGACUUUAAGUCUCCUGAAGGAACGUUGAAGACGACGACGUUGAUAGGCCGGGUGUGUAAGCGCAGCGAUGCGUUGAGCUAACCGGUACUAAUGAACCGUGAGGCUUAACCUU